This 1434-nucleotide long non-coding RNA is filed under the name Ananas comosus (pineapple). RNAcentral describes it as "long non-coding RNA (ACOM_LNC041767)". Lineage: Eukaryota; Viridiplantae; Streptophyta; Magnoliopsida; Poales; Bromeliaceae. The record is from RNAcentral.
GGCGAGGGGCGUUUACGUCGUUUUCGACGUCGCGCCGGAUUGGGUUUUGCGUUUGAGGUAGGUUUAUCAUCGAAUUUCUACUCCUAUAGCCUUGUUAGUCAACAUGUAUAGUUAGGAUAUCUGCGUUGGUACUGUUUAGCUCAGAUUCAUGUUUAUGCAUUGUUCUAGACUUAUGUAUUGAAUUGGGAGCAUGUUACUGUUUGUUAUUAAUUAUACAUGUUGGACUUGGAUAAAACAUAGGAGAAAACCAGCAUUCGGGACCUGGCAUAUGUUAAACUACCUGAUUUAGCCCUAGGGCCUGUUGUAUUUUUUAUACUGUUGCAGUAUCCUCAUAGUGAGUAUCCCAGAUAGUUUAGAUUUCAGUUACGCUUGUGCUGGGAUGCCGAGCCGAUUUUUACAGUAGUGUUUACAGUGUUCCGGAUUAGUGGGUGCCGUAGUGGUUGACGGCUGACCCGGAUUUGAUCGUUCCGAUAUCAGAUUGUGCCAAUGGCACGUGACUAGUGGUUGGUAGUACUGUUAGACCUGUUUUCUUGACUUUAGCCUGUGAGAGCCUGAUUGAGCUCGACAGAGAUACGCUUGCAUACUCGGUUGGGUCGCGCCCACGAAUGUCGCUCCGGAAUCUGGCUUUGUACUUUCGUGUUGAUGUCACUGACUAGUUUUGCUAUCCACGGACUGUUUUGCGUGGAGGUAGCGUGGCUUAGACAGGCGGGACGGGUGUAUCACAGUCCCCGGGACGGGUGUAUCACAGUCCCUGAAUAGAUUAAUUGGGUCAGCAUUAAUAUUUUACUACAGAUAAUUAGAGUAGAGCAUGAUAGUAUAGUGAUAUGUAGCUGUAGAUGUUUCCAGCUUUCCUACUAUCCCAGCUCCUUCUGUAGACUUAGUGGGUGGACCGAUGAUUGUUGAGGGCGGCACCCACUGAGGACUACCUGUUUUUACAGUAGUUCUCACGCCCAGUUGUUACCCUGUGUUUUGCAGAGCCUGCUGUUCCGGCUGCUGCGUCUUCAGAGGCAGAUCGAGGUAAGGGCGUCGCGAGUUAGAGCACUACCCGACGAGUUGCUGGGAUAGAGAAUCCACCAUUGCAGGUAGUUCCGGUUUAUUUUUGUUGAGUUCAUGUACAUACAGUUGUUAUAACUGGCUGGAGCGAGUACCUUUGUAUAGCGUUUUGUUGUAUGUAUGUGAGACUUAUUUUAUUCUACCUGUUUGGUUUCUUUACAGUUCUAUACUACUGGUUGUAGUAUUGUAUAUUUUUCGUUACCGAUACGCUUCGUAUACAGGAAAAAUUCUUUGUAUACGGUGGAUUUGUCGACGUGCCCGGAAAUUGUGUAAUCCGGAGCGUGACAUUAAGCAUUAAAUAAUAUUUUAAAUAUAUUAAUUAAAUUAAUUAAUUAUUAAAUAUUAUAAUUAAAAUUACCGAGAACUACUGUUCUUGGAUUU